UGGGGAAUCUUGCACAAUGGGGGAAACCCUGAUGCAGCGACGCCGCGUGAACGAUGAAGCCCUUCGGGGUGUAAAGUUCUUUCGACAGGAACGAUAAUGACGGUACCUGGAGAAGAAGCUGCGGCUAACUACGUGCCAGCAGCCGCGGUAAUACGUAGGCAGCGAGCGUUGUUCGGAGUUACUGGGCGUAAAGAGUGCGUAGGCGGCGAGCCAAGUUUGGUGUGAAAUCUCCCGGCUUAACCGGGAGGGUGCGCCGAAAACUGGUUGGCUGGAGUAUGGGAGAGGAAAGCGGUAUUCCUGGUGUAGCGGUGAAAUGCGUAGAGAUCAGGAGGAACACCUGCGGUGUAGACAGCUUUCUGGACCAAAACUGACGCUGAGGCACGAAAGCGUGGGUAGCAAACA
Molecule: ribosomal RNA, 402 nt
Filed under: uncultured bacterium
Lineage: Bacteria
Description: bacterial SSU rRNA
Rfam family: Bacterial small subunit ribosomal RNA
Source: RNAcentral